UUCGCAAUGCCCGAAAGGGUGAACGAGCGACGCCGCGUGCGGGAUGAAGGCCUUCGGGUUGUAAACCGCUUUUCUUAAGGAAGAACUUAAUGACGGUACUUAAGGAAUAAGAGGUUACUAACUCUGUGCCAGCAGUAGCGGUAAUACGGAGGGGGCAAGCGUUGUUCGGAUUUACUGGGCGUAAAGGGUGUGUAGGCGGCUGGGUAAGUCUGGUGUGAAAUCUUCACCGCUUAACGGGGAGAGGUCAAUGGAAACUGCCUAGCUCGAGUAUGGUAGAGGCAAGCGGAAUUCCUGGUGUAGCGGUGGAAUGUGUAGAUAUCAGGAAAAACACCGGUGGCGAAGGCGGCUUGCUGGGCCAUCACUGACGCUGAGACACGAAAGCGUGGGGAGCAAACGGGAUUAGAUACCCCGGUAGUCCACGCUGUAAACGGUGGGCACUAAGUAGAGGGGUUUU
RNAcentral lists this ribosomal RNA (454 nucleotides) under uncultured bacterium. Its description in RNAcentral is "bacterial SSU rRNA". It matches the Rfam family "Bacterial small subunit ribosomal RNA", at positions 364 to 832 of the family's 1533-position model. The record is from RNAcentral.